GAUGAACGCUGGCGGUAUGCUUAACACAUGCAAGUCGAACGGACUCUUCGGAGUUAGUGGCGGACGGGUGAGUAACGCGUGAGAAUCUGGCUUUGGGUUCGGGACAACCACUGGAAACGGUGGCUAAUACCGGAUGUGCCGAGAGGUAAAAGAGAAAUUGCCUGAAGAUGAGCUCGCGUCUGAUUAGCUAGUUGGUGAGGUAAAGGCUCACCAAGGCAGCGAUCAGUAGCUGGUCUGAGAGGAUGACCAGCCACACUGGGACUGAGACACGGCCCAGACGCCUACGGGAGGCAGCAGUGGGGAAUUUUCCGCAAUGGGCGAAAGCCUGACGGAGCAAUACCGCGUGAGGGAAGAAGGCUCUUGGGGUGUAAACCUCUUUUCUUAGGGAAGAACAAAAUGACGGUACCUAAGGAAUCAGCAUCGGCUAACUCCGUG
Molecule: ribosomal RNA, 435 nt
Filed under: uncultured bacterium
Lineage: Bacteria
Description: partial 16S ribosomal RNA
Rfam family: Bacterial small subunit ribosomal RNA
Source: RNAcentral